UCUUCCUUUAGAGGGGUUACAGGUAGCCAUUGUGUCACACAUGCUUCAGUAAGUGGCAGAGAGGACAGAGGCUAUGUCUAUGCUCAGUGUUCUAACCUGUGAACAUCCGAGUGAUUAGUAGUCAAAAGAU
Rattus norvegicus (Norway rat) is the source of this 130-nucleotide small nucleolar RNA. Ensembl annotates it as small nucleolar RNA SNORA17. Lineage: Eukaryota; Metazoa; Chordata; Mammalia; Rodentia; Muridae. The record is from Ensembl.